Molecule: non-coding RNA, 793 nt
Organism: Equus caballus (horse)
Lineage: Eukaryota; Metazoa; Chordata; Mammalia; Perissodactyla; Equidae
Source: RefSeq, a predicted model, not a curated record
GCCGGGAAUGGAGGCAGGGAUGUCCGUCCACCCAUCUGUCUGUCCAGCUGCCCUUCCAACCAAUUGUGACAGGCCUCAUGUUGUCCAUCCUGUGUCACAGAGGCUAGAGACUGGUGGGUGGCCUUCUCACCAUCACCCAAUCUGCCCCAUCUUGAGGGGCUCAUAAUCCUCCAUCCCUGCAGGAGCCCCUGACCAAGAGCUGGCCCGCUGCCCAGGGGCUCAUCUCUGAGGGUGAAGACAGGGAGAGAGAGAAGAUACUCACAGAACAAAGUGGAGCAUAAACAAACAAACAAGCCAUAAUAACAGUAACAGCCAUGAGACCAGAGCCCCACUCUGUGCCAAAAUACCUGGCAGGGUGGAGAUGAGGCAGAAGGGACCAUGACAUGACCUGCAGGGUGACUGGAAGGAUGCCAGAGAUCAUGCUGGGAGGCUCAGCCCACAGACCUCAGUUAGGGGUCUAUAAAUGUUGGCUGCAGAGGCUGUUGGCAUCAUCAUUACCAUGUACUUCAUUCUUGCAUUCAGCUGAGUGUUUAAGAUAAGUAGCUAACCUGAGUUGCAGAUGGAGAAACUGAGGCUGGGAGGGGCAGGGACUUGGCCAAGGCCAGAGUAGGGAGCUGGCAGAACUGGACGCCAGCCCAGGUUCUGGCUCCCUCCAGCACCUAGAAACCCAGCUUCCCGCCCCAUCCACCCCUGACCAGCCUCAGCGCAGCUUUGGCGCCCCCAGAGCAGGGAGGUUCCAGAAUUCAGCCCAGGUGCAGGAAGAGAGGAGCUCAGGACAAACACAGGUCGCCCC